Molecule: unclassified non-coding RNA, 226 nt
Filed under: Glomeraceae sp.
Lineage: Eukaryota; Fungi; Glomeromycota; Glomeromycetes; Glomerales; Glomeraceae
Description: partial contains 5.8S ribosomal RNA and internal transcribed spacer 2
Rfam family: 5.8S ribosomal RNA (bases 1-71)
Source: RNAcentral
GUGAAUCAUCGAAUUUUUGAACGCAAAUUGCGCUUUCUGGCAUCCCGGGGAGUAUGCCUGUUUGAGGGUCAGUUUUAAUAACAAAUCGGUUUAGUUACAAAUUGUGACGUUUUCGGCUUCUGGGCUAUCUUAACCUAUUUGGUUAAGAGGCUUAACAUUGACCUUUUUUGCGCAUUUUUAAACGUACAUAAAUUUUUAUUAUUCGUCUAUUCUUAAUGCCACAUUC